AACGCACAUUGCGCCCGCCAGCAUCCUGGCGGGCAUGCCUGUUCGAGCGUCAUUUCAACCCUCAGGCUCUGCCUGGCGUUGGGGACCUGCGCCUCGCAGCCCCCGAAAGACAGCGGCGGUCCCGUCCCGGCACCGAGCGUAGUAGCACAUCUCGCUAUGGGCGUUCGGGCGGUGGCCUGCCGGAAAACACCCCUUUUCGUGGUUGACCUCGGAUCAGGUAGGAAUACCCGCUGAACUUAA
RNAcentral lists this unclassified non-coding RNA (240 nucleotides) under uncultured fungus. Its description in RNAcentral is "sequence contains ITS2". Lineage: Eukaryota; Fungi. The record is from RNAcentral.